AUCAGAAAAAGGCAAACUUAUUGAAAAAUAAGGACGCAAAGUCACAGGUCUAAGGUUUAAUACGAUGACGGCUGGGCUACCUGA
RNAcentral lists this non-coding RNA (84 nucleotides) under Heyndrickxia shackletonii. RNAcentral's name for it is "Bacillus shackletonii c-di-GMP sequence". It matches the Rfam family "c-di-GMP-I riboswitch aptamer". From Rfam's summary of the family: GEMM was predicted in a large-scale screen for bacterial structured RNA regulatory elements. Genes associated with GEMM are involved in a diverse array of functions, including chemotaxis regulation, signal transduction, secretion and chitin. Lineage: Bacteria; Bacillati; Bacillota; Bacilli; Caryophanales; Bacillaceae. The record is from RNAcentral.